This 70-nucleotide transfer RNA is filed under the name Holothuria edulis. RNAcentral describes it as "tRNA-His". Lineage: Eukaryota; Metazoa; Echinodermata; Holothuroidea; Aspidochirotida; Holothuriidae. The record is from RNAcentral.
ACCUUAGUAGUUUACAAAGAACACUAACCUGUGGCAUUAGAGGAGACGACCACUUAUCGUCCUAGGGUCC